AACGAACGCUGGCGGCAUGCCUAACACAUGCAAGUCGAACGAGACCUUCGGGUCUAGUGGCGCACGGGUGCGUAACGCGUGGGAACCUGCCCUUAGGUUCGGAAUAACUCCCCGAAAGGGGUGCUAAUACCAGAUAAUGUCUUCGGACCAAAGAUUUAUCGCCUUUGGAUGGGCCCGCGUUGGAUUAGCUAGUUGGUAGGGUAAAAGCCUACCAAGGCGACGAUCCAUAGCUGGUCUGAGAGGAUGAUCAGCCACACUGGGACUGAGACACGGCCCAGACUCCUACGGGAGGCAGCAGUGGGGAAUAUUGGACAAUGGGCGAAAGCCUGAUCCAGCAAUGCCGCGUGAGUGAUGAAGGCCUUAGGGUUGUAAAGCUCUUUUACCCGAGAUGAUAAUGACAGUACCGGGAGAAUAAGCUCCGGCUAACUCCGUG
RNAcentral lists this ribosomal RNA (433 nucleotides) under uncultured bacterium. RNAcentral describes it as "partial 16S ribosomal RNA". It matches the Rfam family "Bacterial small subunit ribosomal RNA", at positions 29 to 507 of the family's 1533-position model. The record is from RNAcentral.